RNAcentral lists this ribosomal RNA (590 nucleotides) under uncultured Dokdonella sp. Its description in RNAcentral is "bacterial SSU rRNA". It matches the Rfam family "Bacterial small subunit ribosomal RNA", at positions 335 to 916 of the family's 1533-position model. Lineage: Bacteria; Pseudomonadati; Pseudomonadota; Gammaproteobacteria; Lysobacterales; Rhodanobacteraceae. The record is from RNAcentral.
ACUCCUACGGGAGGCAGCAGUGGGGAAUAUUGGACAAUGGGGGCAACCCUGAUCCAGCCAUGCCGCGUGGGUGAAGAAGGCCUUCGGGUUGUAAAGCCCUUUUGUCCGGGACGAAAUGAUCGGUGCUAAUACCACCGAUGGCUGACGGUACCGGAAGAAUAAGCACCGGCUAACUUCGUGCCAGCAGCCGCGGUAAUACGAAGGGUGCAAGCGUUACUCGGAAUUACUGGGCGUAAAGCGUGCGUAGGCGGUUUCUUAAGUCCGUUGUGAAAGCCCUGGGCUCAACCUGGGAAUGGCAGUGGAUACUGGGGAACUGGAGUGCGGUAGAGGAGGGUGGAAUUCCCGGUGUAGCGGUGAAAUGCGUAGAGAUCGGGAGGAACACCAGUGGCGAAGGCGGCCCUCUGGACCAGCACUGACGCUGAGGCACGAAAGCGUGGGGAGCAAACAGGAUUAGAUACCCUGGUAGUCCACGCCUUAAACGAUGCGAACUGGAUGUUGGGUGCGAUUAGGCACUCAGUGUCGAAGCUAACGCGUUAAGUUCGCCGCCUGGGGAGUACGGUCGCAAGACUGAAACUCAAAGGAAUUGACGG